This 76-nucleotide transfer RNA is filed under the name bacterium. Its description in RNAcentral is "tRNA-Asn". It matches the Rfam family "tRNA". From Rfam's summary of the family: Transfer RNA (tRNA) molecules are approximately 80 nucleotides in length. Their secondary structure includes four short double-helical elements and three loops (D, anti-codon, and T loops). Further hydrogen bonds mediate the characteristic L-shaped molecular structure. tRNAs have two regions of fundamental functional importance: the anti-codon, which is responsible for specific mRNA codon recognition, and the 3' end, to which the tRNAs corresponding amino acid is attached (by aminoacyl-tRNA synthetases). tRNAs cope with the degeneracy of the genetic code in two manners: having more than one tRNA (with a specific anti-codon) for a particular amino acid; and 'wobble' base-pairing, i.e. permitting non-standard base-pairing at the 3rd anti-codon position. The record is from RNAcentral.
GCCCCCGUAGCUCAGCUGGUAGAGCGCCCGGCUGUUAACCGGGAGGUCCCCGGUUCGAAUCCGGGCGGGGGCGCCA